AGCGAACGUUAGCGGCGGGCUUAACACAUGCAAGUCGAGCGAGAAGGCGGCUUCGGCUGCCGAGUAAAGCGGCGGACGGGUGAGUAACACGUGGGUAACCUGCCCUUCAGUGGGGGACAACCAUCCGAAAGGAUGGCUAAUACCGCAUAAGUCAUGAGAGGCCGAGGCCUUUCAUGGGAAAGCUAGCCACUGUUUACAAGCUGGCGCUGAAGGAGGGGCCCGCGUCGCAUCAGCUAGUUGGUGAGGUAAUGGCUCACCAAGGCAAAGACGCGUAGCUGGUCUGAGAGGAUGAUCAGCCACACUGGGACUGAGACACGGCCCAGACUCCUACGGUGGCUG
RNAcentral lists this ribosomal RNA (339 nucleotides) under uncultured Pseudomonadota bacterium. Its description in RNAcentral is "bacterial SSU rRNA". It matches the Rfam family "Bacterial small subunit ribosomal RNA", at positions 29 to 351 of the family's 1533-position model. Lineage: Bacteria; Pseudomonadati; Pseudomonadota. The record is from RNAcentral.